RNAcentral lists this signal recognition particle RNA (298 nucleotides) under Saimiri boliviensis boliviensis (Bolivian squirrel monkey). RNAcentral's name for it is "Metazoan signal recognition particle RNA (ENSSBOG00000012743.1)". It matches the Rfam family "Metazoan signal recognition particle RNA". From Rfam's summary of the family: The signal recognition particle (SRP) is a universally conserved ribonucleoprotein. It is involved in the co-translational targeting of proteins to membranes. Lineage: Eukaryota; Metazoa; Chordata; Mammalia; Primates; Cebidae. The record is from RNAcentral.
GCUGGGUAUUGUGGUGCAUGCCUGUAGUCCCGGCUACUUGGGAGGCUGAAGUGGGAGGAUCACUUGAGCCCAGGAGUUCAGGGCUGUAGUGCGCUAUGCCAAUUGGGUGUCUGUACUAAGUUUGGCAUCAAUAUGGUGAUCUCCCGGGAGCGGGGGACCACCAGGUUGCCUAAGGAGGGGUGAGCCGGCCCAGGUCGGAAACACAGCAGGUCAAAACUCCAUGCUGAUCUGUAGUGGGAUCAUGCCUGUGAAUAGCCACUGCACUACAGCCUAGGCAACAUAGUGAGACCCAGUAUCA